UGGUUUCCGUGGUGAUGCUGCAGCCCCUCCUGAGCCCCUCGCCUCUGUGGCCCCGUCAAUGGGGACGGGCUGGCCCCUCACCGCCGGUACCCCCAGGCUCGGGGUAGCCUCUGGUAUCCCAGCGGGUGCGCUGGCGCCAGGGGCGCUGGGUGGGCGGGGGAAACACCCGCAGGGAGCUGCCAAGGGGAUGAGCCCGGCACUGCCAGGGAUGCCCAGUGCCAGGGUGCGGGGGUGCCCAGGACAAUGGAGAGAACCCUUCCCUGUGUAUCAUCAGUCUGGAGUUACAGAGAUCCAAAGCUGAAUGUCGGAAAACUGAGAGAACAUCACUGGUUUCAGCUCAUCCCUCAGUGUAAUCUGCAGUCACAGAACCACUGUUUUCUUUUGUCAGUCUGGAAACAAAGAUCAUUUCACAAGGCAGUCCAAGAGUGUCUAGCAGAAAUAUUCUGGAAACCUCUGAUGGGAUGAAGAAGGAAUAAAGUGAACAAUAGGAUUGUAUCAACGUGUAAGAAAACACGGGGGGAAGACCCCACAAAAAUUGUACUUUUCCAGGCUGUAAGUAAGGGAAGAUGGAGGGGAAAAUGAUGAUGAAAUACUGAAAUGACAAUCAAAAGGAAGAAGAUGCAGUCUGACCUGGGGCUCACUGGGGGACAUGCAUGUCUG
Molecule: long non-coding RNA, 660 nt
Organism: Motacilla alba alba
Lineage: Eukaryota; Metazoa; Chordata; Aves; Passeriformes; Motacillidae
Exons: 3
Source: RefSeq, a predicted model, not a curated record